AAAUAACUUCAUGCACAAAGAAUGCCCUAAGUUGUUGGGCAACCUGGGACUCAGUAUAAAAACCAGAGCAACUCAAGGCUCUUCCACCUAUUUCUCUUGCCUUCUUUACCUUGGUGAACAGGACUUGCCUCCAUCCCACAGACAUGUCCUGCUAUGACCUGUGCCCCCCCACCUCCUGUGGGCCAACCCCACUGGCAAAUAGCUGCAAUGAGCCCUGUGUCAGGCAGUGCCAGGACUCAACAGUGGUGAUCCAGCCCUCUCCUGUGGUGGUGACCCUGCCUGGACCCAUCCUCAGCUCCUUCCCACAGAACACUGCUGUGGGAUCCUCAGCAUCUGCUGCUGUCGGGAGUGCUCUCAAUGCUGGAGGGGUGCCCAUUUCCUCUGGAAGCUCCUUGGGAUUAGGCAGCUUUGGCUAUCCAGGCCUGGGCAGUGGGUACAGUCGGCCCUACCGUCGCUACAACACCUACCGCAGUGGCUUCUAAGGGCCAUGGUAAAGUGUGAGGAGCAAGCAGGAAGAAAUGACCAGGAACACUGAAGCACGACUCAACACAGGACUGAGCUCAUGGCCAUGGUUUUCAGAUGCAGUUUUAGAUGCCCACAACCUGAAGUUUAUGGAGCUGUGGGAGCUUGGCAUCUCCUAAAAUCAGGCCUAUGCUUGUCUUACUUUUGUCAUGCUUUACUUUACAUUUCUGAUCAAAAGUCUUGUCUCAUGCUUGUUUUUUUUUAAUUGAAGAUGACUAAAAAUAUGUAAUUAUUAGAAAUUGUUUUGCAUGGCUGAAUUAGUACAGUUCACUUAAAGAAGAAGGAAGAUCUCAGUUUGCUGAGUGUGUCAUUGUGAGAGGGAUGAGUGGGUAUUGUCCUUAGUGGAGCAUGGAAAUGUAUUCCUUAUACUUUACAUUGCUUCCUUCCCUUCCUCAGCCUCAUUAAAUUUGUGCUGCAUCAUAA
This is a long non-coding RNA of Melopsittacus undulatus (budgerigar), 945 nucleotides long. RefSeq lists it as uncharacterized. NCBI's taxonomy places the organism in Eukaryota, Metazoa, Chordata, Aves, Psittaciformes, Psittaculidae. The record is from RefSeq and is a predicted model, not a curated record. The transcript is spliced from 2 exons.